CCUACGGGUGGCAGCAGUGAGGAAUAUUGGUCAAUGGGCGGGAGCCUGGACCAGCCAAGUCGCGUGAGGGAAGACGGUCCUAUGGAUUGUAAACCUCUUUUGUCGGGGAGCAAAGAGGCCACGUGUGGUCAAAAGCGAGAGUACCCGAAGAAAAAGCAUCGGCUAACUCCGUGCCAGCAGCCGCGGUAAUACGGAGGAUGCGAGCGUUAUCCGGCUUUAUUGGGUUUAAAGGGUGCGUAGGCGGGACGGUAAGUCAGCGGUAAAAAUGCGGAGCUCAACUCCGUCGAGCCGUUGAAACUGCCGUUCUUGAGUGAGCGAGAAGUAUGCGGAAUGCGUGGUGUAGCGGUGAAAUGCAUAGAUAUCACGCAGAACUCCGAUUGCGAAGGCAGCAUACCGGCGCUCAACUGACGCUGAAGCACGAAGGCGUGGGUAUCGAACAGGAUUAGAUACCCCAGUAGUC
This 460-nucleotide ribosomal RNA is filed under the name uncultured bacterium. RNAcentral describes it as "partial 16S ribosomal RNA". It matches the Rfam family "Bacterial small subunit ribosomal RNA", at positions 338 to 795 of the family's 1533-position model. The record is from RNAcentral.